GCUCCGGCGACCUAGUGGUUAGAGUAUCCACUUUGGAUGCGGGAGAUCGCUGGUUCGAACCCAGGCAUAUUUAUACCGAAGACU
Potamilus streckersoni is the source of this 84-nucleotide non-coding RNA. NCBI's taxonomy places the organism in Eukaryota, Metazoa, Mollusca, Bivalvia, Unionida, Unionidae. The record is from the annotation of a GenBank genome assembly.